Molecule: long non-coding RNA, 1093 nt
Organism: Lathyrus oleraceus (garden pea)
Lineage: Eukaryota; Viridiplantae; Streptophyta; Magnoliopsida; Fabales; Fabaceae
Exons: 4
Source: RefSeq, a predicted model, not a curated record
CACGUGCAUCAUGAAAGACUCUCAUAACACACUUCAUCAACGUAUUCACACACAUGGCCGAAAUUGUUCUCCUCUGUCGCGCCGAAAUUCGUCAUCGGUGGCGGCGGAGCCUUAAAAUAGUCAAACUAUACCCCAUUCUCUUUGCGCCACAACCCUUUAUCUGAAACCUUACUCUAUUUCGUCCAAUUUCAACCCAAUCAAACCAAAUUAUCCACCACAGUCAAGAACCUUAAUCCAUAAUUACGUAAAUUAAAUGUAAGGGAGAUGAAAUUGAAGCCGACACCCUUAGCGCUUCAAUUCCCUAAGCUAAGGGUUACAUCUCGGUAACAAGUUGAAGACGAAAUGAAGGAGAAGUGCAAAGGAGCUUACCGGUCGGAGCAGUUUCGGCGACUCUUCAAGGUAAGUUCUUCAAGCUUUAUUCACUCAUUCUUCUUCGUCUUCCUCGCUUCUGUCUUCUUCUUUUUCUUCUUGCUUUUCUGGUUCCUCCUCCUCUUCUCUUCUUCUAUGCUUGAUGUGUGAGAGAUGAGAGAAUGAGAUUUUGAUAGGCGAAGGAGAAUCAAAGUGAGUGAAAAUGCAUAAUGAGGACGAAUCUACAAAAUUCUGAGAAAAAUGAGUGAAGAAUCGUCCUCUCUAAACGUGAAUGGAAACCAGAUUAUAUAGAGUUUCAACUUUAACAGAGAUUAACUCUGUUAAAGCUCUCUCAGUUCAAGUUAGUUAGAGGUUGGAUCUCUGUUAAAAAUCUAUCAAGGUUACAGGUUAACAUGAAUUAUGUGAAGUGGCUAUGGAUUAUACAUGGUGAUGACAUGCUAAACAGGGUAAUGGUCUACUGAUGGGUGAGCAAGGUGGUUGCAUUCCUACUGCAGACCCAUAAUGAGCUCAUGGUGGCAUAGCCAAAGGAAGCACAUGGAGGCCUUUGAGGAUGCAAGGAUGGGCUGCCAUAUUAAAAGCUCUUUUUUCCUUUCUUCCUUUUGAUUCAAACCAUGUUAUGAAAUAGAAUUGGGGCUUACUCUUUGUAUGGAUAUGAUCAUGUAAAGAUACACUUUGUAAUCAAACUUCAAUUAUCACUUCAAAUUAUGGAUGCCAUUUACACGGA